Molecule: ribosomal RNA, 468 nt
Filed under: uncultured bacterium
Lineage: Bacteria
Description: partial 16S ribosomal RNA
Rfam family: Bacterial small subunit ribosomal RNA
Source: RNAcentral
GACGAACGCUGGCGGCGUGCUUAACACAUGCAAGUCGAACGGAAAGGCCCUGCUUUUGUGGGGUGCUCGAGUGGCGAACGGGUGAGUAACACGUGAGUAACCUGCCCUUGACUUUGGGAUAACUUCAGGAAACUGGGGCUAAUACCGGAUAGGAGCUCCUGCAGCAUGGUGGGGGUUGGAAAGUUUCGGCGGUUGGGGAUGGACUCGCGGCUUAUCAGCUUGUUGGUGGGGUAGUGGCUUACCAAGGCUUUGACGGGUAUCCGGCCUGAGAGGGUGACCGGCCACAUUGGGACUGAGAUACGGCCCAGACUCCUACGGGAGGCAGCAGUGGGGAAUAUUGCACAAUGGGCGGAAGCCUGAUGCAGCAACGCCGCGUGCGGGAUGACGGCCUUCGGGUUGUAAACCGCUUUCGCCUGUGACGAAGCGUGAGUGACGGUAAUGGGUAAAGAAGCACCGGCUAACUACGUG